GACGAACGCUGGCGGCGUGCCUAAUACAUGCAAGUAGAACGCUGAAGCUUGGUGCUUGCACCGAGCGGAUGAGUUGCGAACGGGUGAGUAACGCGUAGGUAACCUGCCUGGUAGCGGGGGAUAACUAUUGGAAACGAUAGCUAACACCGCAUAAAAUGGAUUAUCGCAUGAUAAUCGAUUGAAAGGUGCAAAUGCAUCACUACCAGAUGGACCUGCGUUGUAUUAGCUAGUUGGUGGGGUAACGGCUCACCAAGGCGACGAUACAUAGCCGACCUGAGAGGGUGAUCGGCCACACUGGGACUGAGACACGGCCCAGACUCCUACGGGAGGCAGCAGUAGGGAAUCUUCGGCAAUGGACGGAAGUCUGACCGAGCAACGCCGCGUGAGUGAAGAAGGUUUUCGGAUCGUAAAGCUCUGUUGUAAGAGAAGAACGAGUGUGAGAGUGGAAAGUUCACACUGUGACGGUAUCUACCA
Molecule: ribosomal RNA, 474 nt
Filed under: Streptococcus sp. oral taxon 070
Lineage: Bacteria; Bacillati; Bacillota; Bacilli; Lactobacillales; Streptococcaceae
Description: bacterial SSU rRNA
Rfam family: Bacterial small subunit ribosomal RNA
Source: RNAcentral